This 109-nucleotide microRNA precursor is filed under the name Chlorocebus sabaeus (green monkey). Its description in RNAcentral is "miRNA (ENSCSAG00000025776.1)". Lineage: Eukaryota; Metazoa; Chordata; Mammalia; Primates; Cercopithecidae. The record is from RNAcentral.
GCUACAGCGGGUGCUUACAUUGCCUCCCAGACGGUGAAGAAGGUGAUAGAGAUCAACCCAUACCUGCUAGGCACCAUGGCUGGGGGCGCAGCGGAUUGCAGCUUCUGGG